This 254-nucleotide ribosomal RNA is filed under the name uncultured bacterium. RNAcentral's name for it is "partial 16S ribosomal RNA". It matches the Rfam family "Bacterial small subunit ribosomal RNA", at positions 524 to 776 of the family's 1533-position model. The record is from RNAcentral.
UACGUAGGGUGCGAGCGUUGUCCGGAAUUACUGGGCGUAAAGAGCUCGUAGGUGGUUUGUCGCGUUGUCCGUGAAAACUCACAACUCAAUUGUGGGCGUGCGGGCGAUACGGGCAGACUGGAGUACUGCAGGGGAGACUGGAAUUCCUGGUGUAGCGGUGGAAUGCGCAGAUAUCAGGAGGAACACCGGUGGCGAAGGCGGUUCUCUGGGCAUGACCUGACGCUGAGGAGCGAAAGUGUGGGGAGGCGAACAGG